This 4102-nucleotide unclassified non-coding RNA is filed under the name Exaiptasia diaphana. RNAcentral describes it as "microprocessor complex subunit DGCR8, transcript variant X2". Lineage: Eukaryota; Metazoa; Cnidaria; Anthozoa; Actiniaria; Aiptasiidae. The record is from RNAcentral.
ACUUGGUUCGAUAUGCUGGUUCGAUACACGACAAUAAAAUUGUUUUCAUGGGUGGACAACAAACUCCUUUGACGUAAGGACAAUAAUACAGAAAUCAUAGCUUUAAUAAUUUAGCAUUUUUAGGACUUCUUGAUUUUUUUCUGUUUGAAAAUGACAUGUUUUCUAAGCGAUGCUGUAUGCACUCGUCACGAAUUGAACCAGAAACCUACUCGCGUGGAUAGCACCAUUGAACCAUGUUGAUGCGUUGUCUGCGUGUUAUCCAAAGUACGAGUAAGCAUUGAAACUUGUAUGGGUAAAGGAAAACUUACAAAAUUAUGGCAGANUCAGAAGAAACGUUGUUGAAAAAUGAUGUCGCCAUUAUCGAAAGAAACGAUUUGAUCCCNCAACGGCAGGUCAUGAAAAGAGCUCGAAACGUGAACGGUUUCGAAGAAAAGCCGACAGAUGAGAANCGCAAAAAAGAGACAUUUUCUGAUGAUGUGGACGAAAUACAGCUGAGAGACAAGUUACUGGAUGAAAUAUCUUCAAAUAAAUUGUGUUUGGAUUCUGACAGCAUGAUUCACGAUGUUACUGAAUUUGAACAUGGCGGCAGUAAUGAAAGUCAACAAGCACAGAAUCGAAAGAUUAUCAAGUUGGAAGGGGUUUUGCCAAACCUNGCACUACCGGAUGGAUGGAUAGCUCUCAACCAUAGGAGUGGUGGAAUUGUCUAUCUUCAUCGAUCAACAAGAGUUUGUACCUGGGGACGACCAUAUUACAUCGGUAAAGGAAGUGUCAGGAAACAUGAUGUUCCUGUUGCUGCAAUUCCUUGCCUGCAUCAAGCAAAAGCACUUGCAAACAAAUCACAAAAAACAAACAAACCUUCAAAUGAGAUCCCACUUGAUGUUGAUCACCAGCCUGGCCAGGGUCAGGGUUUAUCAAUUCUUAACUUUCUNAAUACUGCAGGGUCUAUUGAAGGUGAAACACANCUUGNGGCUGCUCAUUAUGAAGCAUUUCAAAGCCAUAAACCAACUAUUGAAAAAGCUGCCGAUGGAAAUGUUAAAUCUGGUCUUUCAAUGGAAGUAGUUAAUGAUUAUAAUAAAGAAGAAAUAUGCAACACUUUUGAAUCAAAUUCAUUACAAGAAAAUGGUAAUUAUCAUAUUUUUAAAAAGCUGAAUAUAGUUAAUGAAGAUAGCAGUGAGAAAAACCAAGUUUAUUGCACUGUGAAGAAUGAAAAUGAAGAUGUCGAUGAUUGUCAAGUCAAGAAUGUAGAUGGUGGUCAUGGUGUUAGUUAUCGUACAAGUAAUAUAUGUCCNUGUGAAGAUAGAUAUGAUAAUAUAUUUCAUCCUAAGGAUGGACUUGAUGUUGUNAAUGAGACACUUAACUAUGGAGGAAAGGAACUAAAGAAAGAUGAUGAAAUGAAUUCUGCAAGUAGUAAUGUUCCCAUUCCCAGCAUCGAGCUGAUGUCUCCAGAACAUUUGCAAAGCAUAAACUUGAAAAGCACUCAAAGUGAUCAAGUUAAUCAUGAAAAUUUAAAAAUUCCAAGUUUACAAAGUGUUAGCCUCAAAGGCAGUAGAAAAGNAAUACAUGAAAACAAAGAAAUAUUUUACAAUGGAACCAGUGCAGAGGAUGAACAUUCUCUAGAUGCGCAGACAACAUCUGAUGAUAAUUUUAAAAAGAACCCGAACUUNCCAAAAACUACCCAUCAAACUUCAGGAAUCGAACUUAUAGAUGCUGAAGAGCUGAGCUCUUACCUUGGCAAGUUGUUUGAUUUCAAAAAGAUUACAAUAGACCAAGAAAAGAAUGUAGUGAAGCCCUCAGAGGCAGUCAUGGAAGAAGCUGAUCCAGUUUUGUCAGUACUAGAAUGCCUACCUUACUGCGUCAAGGGUAAAANUGCCAAAGAAAAUAAAGAAUGGGUUUUAAAUCCAGGUGGAAAAACNCCAGUAGCGAUAUUGCAUGAGUAUUCCCAAGCUGUUCUUAAAGAAAAACCUGUUUAUGUCUCUACUGAGUGUGAAAAUUCUUCCACUCCUUUCAUGGCUGAGGUUCAGAUCAACGGGAUUACNCACGGCAGUGGUAUGGCAUCCACUAAAAAGCAAGCCAAACAGAUCGCNGCAGAAGUCGCAUUGGAAGUGUUGCUGCCUCAUGCCUUUCAUAAAAUACGAGAUUAUGUCAUCUCUAGAGAGGAAUUAGAGUGUUUUGAUAAGUUGAAAAUCGACAAUCCUAAUAUCCACGAGCUGUCAAUUAAAUCUGGUCUUCCUAGNCCUUCACAGGUUUUACAAGAAUGUUUGAAAAGAAAUCAAGGUGUUUGCUCAUCUACUAUCCACUUCAAGAUGAUUCCCGGUCAAAAUCAAGAACACACAUUUAUAAUAUCAUGUGGAAAACACCAAGCAGAGGGGCCAUGCAAGAAUAAGAGNAUUGGAAAGCAGGUGGCAUCUCAGGCCCUGCUUAUGAAACUACACCCACAUAUAUCAACAUGGGGAUCGCUGUUGAGGAUUUACUGCGAUAGACCCUCUUCUAUUGUGAAAAAGUAUAAGACGCCAGACUAUGAUAGUUUAUCAAACUGCAUUUCUACACCUGAUGUCCCGAGAGGAAAACUUCUACUCGCUCGAUUGAAAGAAGAAAUGCUGAAAAUUGCUGAUGAUGUAAAUCAAGAAUCGAAGUAUUCUAGAUCAAGUGACGAUACUGGCUCAAUUAGCACUGUCGAUAUUUAAACUAUUUCACAACAAUGCUCUAUUUAAAACGAAUUUUUAGAAUCACGUCAAUGUACGUAAUAAUAAUUAGCUAGUAAAUUCUGCGUUAAUUACUCUUUUUAAUCAAUUAAAUUCUUCAAUUAAUUAUAAAUUACGGCAUGUAGGUAGAUAACAUAUUACUACAGAAUCAAAUGGAAUCAAAUGCAUGCAUUUUACUAAAAAUGGUGGUAAUUCCACAGAACUAAUAAAUAAUUUUUUAUGUCUAACGCAUUUGAUUGAUAUCCAUUCCUUCACAAAUGUCGUUNGCUUACUAAAAAGGUCAAAGCUGAGAUGUUUCCUAUUCGAUCACUAAUUUUAUUUUACGCCUAUGCAUUUAGUCCAAAUAUAUUCAACGAUCACAGAACGCACACAUGGGCUUCCUGUGGCAAUAUGAAUAAUGAUAGCAAUCAGUGGCGGAUCCAGGGGGGUUCCAUGGGUUCCUAGGAACCCUCCUCGAGCAUAAAGAAUAAAAAUAAAAUGAAUGAUAAAUGAAAUAAAAUGAAAACGCAUCGUACACAAUUGCAUCCGAGAAGAAUGAACGUGGCUUAUAUCUUACAAUAGGUAAGAGGCUUUAUAUUACACUUUUACCACAUGGCUGCAAUGUACGCACACACUGAACUGUAAAGCGUUUUGAGACUUAAGAGAUGCNCUAUCUAUAACUGCAUUCACGUUACAUUUGCUACAGUUUGAGAGGCACAGUAAAAGUGUUCGUUUUAGGAAAAUGCGAAAGCAAAUUGGAAGCCUCCUUUAAAAAAUCCUGUAUCCGCCACUGGCAAUAGUCAUUUCUAGCCUAAGGCAGUCAUCAGGGGUGUUUGGAAAUUUAUGAACAAGAUAUAUACAUGUCUUCCACGUGCAGAUCGAGGCUUGCGAUAAGUGGGUACGUAUGCAUGUUUUUUUAGCUGCAGGGAAAAUGAAUUUUGUACAUUGUAUUUAUAAACUACUCUUUAAAAAGGCUGUCUUCACAUGAUUUAUAUCUUUGAUGAUUAGUUUUGGUGUACGCUAAAGAUCAAUUGGUGUGUCGGGGUGUGCUGGAAUAGUCGCAUGCCUGUAAAUUGGUAAAAGUAAUGGUGAAGCUGCUUUGAUGUCACAUUCAUGGGUUUAUACUUUUUUCCCUCACAUCCUAAUUAAUUUGAUGAUCAAACUGCCUGAAUGUAUAGAAAAUCUGCAUGUAAAAGAGGCAAACUACUUCAAUACGCUACACACGUAGUCAAGAGAGUAAAAUGCAACAUCGAAACAAACGUUGGUUAGCACUAGUUAACAUCAUGGUAGAUAUGAUGGUGUCACUUUAACAGAAUAUUUCUCAUUUUUUCUAUAUUGGUCAUAAUAUGUACUAGCUAGUGUACCACAAAUUUGUCUGGCACAAUUAUAUCAAUAUGAAGGAAAUAAAUUGANAAGAAGCA